CUGAGAUUAGCGGCGGACGGGUGAGUAACACGUGGGCAACCUGCCUAUAAGACUGGGAUAACUUCGGGAAACCGGAGCUAAUACCGGAUACGUUCUUUUCUCGCAUGAGAGAAGAUGGAAAGACGGUUUACGCUGUCACUUAUAGAUGGGCCCGCGGCGCAUUAGCUAGUUGGUGAGGUAAUGGCUCACCAAGGCGACGAUGCGUAGCCGACCUGAGAGGGUGAUCGGCCACACUGGGACUGAGACACGGCCCAGACUCCUACGGGAGGCAGCAGUAGGGAAUCUUCCGCAAUGGACGAAAGUCUGACGGAGCAACGCCGCGUGAACGAAGAAGGCCUUCGGGUCGUAAAGUUCUGUUGUUAGGGAAGAACAAGUACCAGAGUAACUGCUGGUACCUUGACGGUACCUAACCAGAAAGCCACGGCUAACUACGUGCCAGCAGCCGCGGUAAUACGUAGGUGGCAAGCGUUGUCCGGAAUUAUUGGGCGUAAAGCGCGCGCAGGUGGUUCCUUAAGUCUGAUGUGAAAGCCCACGGCUCAACCGUGGAGGGUCAUUGGAAACUGGGGAACUUGAGUGCAGAAGAGGAAAGUGGAAUUCCAAG
This 601-nucleotide ribosomal RNA is filed under the name Peribacillus simplex. RNAcentral describes it as "bacterial SSU rRNA". It matches the Rfam family "Bacterial small subunit ribosomal RNA", at positions 86 to 673 of the family's 1533-position model. The record is from RNAcentral. Lineage: Bacteria; Bacillati; Bacillota; Bacilli; Caryophanales; Bacillaceae.